RNAcentral lists this unclassified non-coding RNA (254 nucleotides) under uncultured Acidimicrobiia bacterium. RNAcentral's name for it is "contains 16S-23S intergenic spacer region". It matches the Rfam family "Bacterial small subunit ribosomal RNA", at positions 524 to 776 of the family's 1533-position model. Lineage: Bacteria; Bacillati; Actinomycetota; Acidimicrobiia. The record is from RNAcentral.
UACAGAGACCUCAAACGUUAUCCGGAAUCAUUGGGCGUAAAGAGCUCGUAGGCGGUUCAGCAAGUCGGCUGUGAAAGUCCGAGGCUCAACCUCGGAAUUGCAGUCGAUACUGCUGUGACUCGAGUCCGGUAGAGGAGAACGGAAUUCUCGGUGUAGCGGUGAAAUGCGCAGAUAUCGGGAGGAACACCAGUAGCGAAGGCGGUUCUCUGGGCCGGCACUGACGCUGAGGAGCGAAAGCGUGGGGAGCAAACAGG